Molecule: ribosomal RNA, 120 nt
Filed under: uncultured bacterium
Lineage: Bacteria
Description: partial 16S ribosomal RNA
Rfam family: Bacterial small subunit ribosomal RNA
Source: RNAcentral
GUGCUAGGGGGGCGGCCGAUGUCCGAUUAGCUAGUUGGUGGGGUAAUGGCCCACCAAGGCUGCGAUCGGUAGCUGGUCUGAGAGGAUGAUCAGCCACACUGGGACUGAGACACGGCCCAG